This is a non-coding RNA of Mycena rebaudengoi, 79 nucleotides long. The record is from the annotation of a GenBank genome assembly. Lineage: Eukaryota; Fungi; Basidiomycota; Agaricomycetes; Agaricales; Mycenaceae.
GGCCGUCUGGCGAAAUGGUAUCGCGUCUAUAUAUCCCGCUGUAAUCAGGAGGCUCUAGGUUCGACCCCUAGGAUGGCCU